Long non-coding RNA from Oryzias melastigma (Indian medaka), 726 nucleotides. RefSeq lists it as uncharacterized. The transcript has 3 exons. The record is from RefSeq and is a predicted model, not a curated record. NCBI's taxonomy places the organism in Eukaryota, Metazoa, Chordata, Actinopteri, Beloniformes, Adrianichthyidae.
AAACACGGCAACUUCUUUCUUGCUUCAUAGAGGAUGCAUCUUUUUUUUUAACCCCCUGCAACAUGACACACUCAUGAAUCACUUUCCUUCAUCGAAUUUACAGGACAGGAACACACACAUUCUGAAAGAGCGACAACAGCCCCGGAGCUGCAGAGGGGGCAGCCCACGAAGCAUCAGCACCUAAAGCCUCGGCAGUCACUCGAGGCCGCUUGGAAAAGGAGUGAGUCGGUGCCACGAGGAGCGUAGGUGAUCAAAUGUGCAACAAUCUGAUCUAUAAGACGCAGGAGACUAAAGGCCUGAAGGAAAUUCCUUGAAUAGUAGGAGACACUACUUGGAAGAAGUAAGAGGAAAAUCUGAUUCUAGGAACUCAAAGCUGCUGGUGAAGAAGGAUAUAACCAUGAAACAUACAAGUUUAAGGAAAGAGUCUCCUGGUAAAAACACAGCACAGCAGAAACAGUGGGCUCCUGCUGUGCAUGCACCGCCGAGUGCGUGGGAAGAUCAUGACUCACAUCCAGACAGUAAUAACUGAAGUUUGCUGCAUCAUGAUUGACAUCGUCAGUCUUCUAGUCUUCAGAUGAAACAACGCUUCAUUUGAAUCCAUCUGCCAUCUUUCAGCACCCAAAACAUCCAGCAUGUCUACCCGGAACCACUUUAUCUCCAGUCAUCUGAGUUUCUGCGUCAAUCUGCUUGUUCUUUUUAAAUAAAUAAAAAAAAUAUGUUCGAAAA